GAAAUAUUAGAAAAUUAGAAAACAAGAUGAUCCCAUGCAGGAUCUUGCGCAUAAAUUCUCCCUUUCCGAUGAAAAUUUUUCCCGAACGCCUGCCCGCUGCCAGCACGCGCAUGAACCCACUGAAGCUGCGAAAUAUUUCCGAGGAGAAGAACUUGGGAGAGAAGUUGUAUGCCAUCAAGUCGGAUGUGCCUUCGAGCAAAGCUGAUGCGAAUGUUAACUACGAAAUUAUUGAGCCGAAAUAUUGAGAAAUGAAUGUACAUAUAACCGCUGUGCAUCCUGUUUUUCCAUGUUUAUGCCGUGAUUAAUGCAGACUUGUGAUCAGUGCAUGUGAUGCGCUACAAUAAAUAUUAAUAAAGCCUAUUA
Paramacrobiotus metropolitanus is the source of this 363-nucleotide long non-coding RNA. RefSeq lists it as uncharacterized. The transcript has 2 exons. The record is from RefSeq and is a predicted model, not a curated record. Lineage: Eukaryota; Metazoa; Tardigrada; Eutardigrada; Parachela; Macrobiotidae.